This 1445-nucleotide ribosomal RNA is filed under the name uncultured organism. RNAcentral describes it as "16S ribosomal RNA". It matches the Rfam family "Bacterial small subunit ribosomal RNA". The record is from RNAcentral.
GGCGGCGUGCUUAACACAUGCAAGUCGAACGGAAAGGCCCUGCUUUUGUGGGGUGCUCGAGUGGCGAACGGGUGAGUAACACGUGAGUAACCUGCCCUUGACUUUGGGAUAACUUCAGGAAACUGGGGCUAAUACCGGAUAGGAGCUCCUGCUGCAUGGUGGGGGUUGGAAAGUUUCGGCGGUUGGGGAUGGACUCGCGGCUUAUCAGCUUGUUGGUGGGGUAGUGGCUUACCAAGGCUUUGGCGGGUAGCCGGCCUGAGAGGGUGACCGGCCACAUUGGGACUGAGAUACGGCCCAGACUCCUACGGGAGGCAGCAGUGGGGAAUAUUGCACAAUGGGCGGAAGCCUGAUGCAGCAACGCCGCGUGCGGGAUGACGGCCUUCGGGUUGUAAACCGCUUUCGCCUGUGACGAAGCGUGAGUGACGGUAAUGGGUAAAGAAGCACCGGCUAACUACGUGCCAGCAGCCGCGGUGAUACGUAGGGUGCGAGCGUUGUCCGGAUUUAUUGGGCGUAAAGGGCUCGUAGGUGGUUGAUCGCGUCGGAAGUGUAAUCUUGGGGCUUAACCCUGAGCGUGCUUUCGAUACGGGUUGACUUGAGGAAGGUAGGGGAGAAUGGAAUUCCUGGUGGAGCGGUGGAAUGCGCAGAUAUCAGGAGGAACACCAGUGGCGAAGGCGGUUCUCUGGGCCUUUCCUGACGCUGAGGAGCGAAAGCGUGGGGAGCGAACAGGCUUAGAUACCCUGGUAGUCCACGCUGUAAACGGUGGGUACUAGGUGUGGGGUCCAUUCCACGGGUUCCGUGCCGUAGCUAACGCUUUAAGUACCCCGCCUGGGGAGUACGGCCGCAAGGCUAAAACUCAAAGGAAUUGACGGGGCCCCGCACAAGCGGCGGAGCAUGCGGAUUAAUUCGAUGCAACGCGUAGAACCUUACCUGGGUUUGACAUGGAUCGGGAGUGCUCAGAGAUGGGUGUGCCUCUUUUGGGGUCGGUUCACAGGUGGUGCAUGCCUGUCGUCAGCUCGUGUCGUGAGAUGUUGGGUUAAGUCCCACAACGAGCGCAACCCUUGUUCACUGUUGCCAGCACGUUAUGGUGGGGACUCAGUGGAGACCGCCGGGGUCAACUCGGAGGAAGGUGGGGAUGACGUCAGGUCCUCAUGCCCCUUAUGUCCAGGGCUUCACGCAUGCUACAAUGGCUGGUACAGAGAGUGGCGAGCCUGUGAGGGUGAGCGAAUCUCGGAAAGCCGGUCUCAGUUCGGAUUGGGGUCUGCAACUCGACCUCAUGAAGUCGGAGUCGCUAGUAAUCGCAGAUCAGCAACGCUGCGGUGAAUACGUUCCCGGGGCUUGUACACACCGCCCGUCAAGUCAUGAAAGUUGGUAACACCCGAAGCCGGUGGCCUAACCGUUGUGGGGGAGCCGUCGAAGGUGGGACUGGUGAUUAGGACUAAGUCGUA